This 253-nucleotide ribosomal RNA is filed under the name uncultured bacterium. RNAcentral describes it as "partial 16S ribosomal RNA". It matches the Rfam family "Bacterial small subunit ribosomal RNA", at positions 524 to 776 of the family's 1533-position model. The record is from RNAcentral.
UACGGAGGGUGCGAGCGUUGUCCGGAAUCAUUGGGCGUAAAGGGCGCGUAGGUGGCUUCUUAAGCGUGCGGUGAAAGCCUGGGGCUCAACCCCGGGUCGGCCGUGCGAACUGGCGGGCUGGAGCACUGUAGAGGCAGGCGGAAUUCCGGGUGUAGCGGUGGAAUGCGUAGAGAUCCGGAAGAACACCGGUGGCGAAGGCGGCCUGCUGGGCAGUUGCUGACACUGAGGUGCGAAAGCGUGGGGAGCAAACAGG